GUCGCACCGCGGCCUUCCUUCUAAGAAAAUUUAUAUACACUUGUACACGCGCAUUUUGCGAAUCGCACGCGCGCAUCCGCGCGUUAAAAUUCGGUCCUGUCUUUGGGCCAUUUUGUACGGUCUGUUUAUUCGGCAGAGUACGACCGGACACAUUUCUGCGAGGGGCUGCUUAAAUAUUGUAACGGCUGCGCAUGGAAUUGUUUGCAUGGCCAUGUUGCAUGAUGAUAAUUGUUUUGGGGGGUUCAAAUCCUCAAAUGUGUCAAAUGCCAAGCCCGAGGA
Molecule: long non-coding RNA, 279 nt
Filed under: Volvox carteri
Lineage: Eukaryota; Viridiplantae; Chlorophyta; Chlorophyceae; Chlamydomonadales; Volvocaceae
Description: long non-coding RNA (VCAR_LNC003563)
Source: RNAcentral